UGUUCCCAUAGAAUGGAGAAAUGUUUUCCUGGAUGAUUACUAAACGCAGCGUAAAUUUUUGUUGAGAUUACUCAUCCAGAAGAAGAAAUUAUCUAAAAUGGAUUUCCGGUUCUAGAAAUCAUCUAACAAUAGUUUCUGUUUCUCAUCCAUUCUUCAUAAUAGUGGUGAACCUUCUUUGAAAUUCUGAUUCCUAGAAUUUUACCGAUAGUCGUGGUUUUGUGAGUCAAUCUUCUGGGAUUAAUGGGUUCUGGCCUUAUUGGCCUUUGAUGUACAGAACAAUCAGAACUCUUGUCAAUGGCGACUCAGAUCCUACUAAGAGUUAAACUCGCUUUGAAGCUUCCAAAAUGCUCUUCCAUUGCCAUUCGCUCCAAAACAACUUCAUCUCAGUAUGUGGCAUCAAGGGCCAGAGACCCAACCUUCGAGAAAUUCAUGGCGGACUACAAAAACUUUCUUAAGGUAGUCUCUGUUCAAGAUCUUAUCCUUGCGAACCCUAAAAACCCAACACUUCCCCUUGAUUUCCUUGACAGGCUUUCUCAGAAAUUCCAUCUCAACCGUGGAGCCCUUCAUUUCAUCCGUAAAUAUCCUCACAUUUUCACGCUCUUCUAUGACACCUCAGAGUCAAAACCAUUCUUCAAAUUAACUGAAGCUGCAAUUGAGAUUUCUCGUCAAGAAGCAGCCGCAAUUGAUGGUUCGAAGCCCGUUGUCAUUGAUCGAUUAGUUCGACUCCUUUCAAUGUCUAUCUCAAAAUCUCUACCCCUUCGAGCAAUUUUCAAAGUCUGGAGGGAACUUGGCUUGCCUGAUGAUUUUGAGGAUUCGAUAAUCUCCCACAACCCUACUCUUUUCUCUCUCUGUGAUGCCCAUGAACCUAAAACUCAUAUCUUGGAAUUGGUAACUGGAAACCUAAAUCCUGGCUUCUCAGCCGCAGUUGAGAACUGGAGGAUUUCUGAAUCUUGUAAGGAGGAUGCUGGGGUUGAUACAUCUGAAAUUCGAUUUGCUUUUAAACACGGGUUUCCACCUGGGAUGAGAUUGAGCAAAGAUUUGAAAGCCAAGGUUAAGGAUUGGCAAAGGUUGCCAUAUUUGGGACCUUACGAGGAGAUGGGAGUGAAGAGAAAGUCCAAAGCUGGUAUGAAGGGACUGGAGAAGCGGGCUGUUGCAGUUGUUCACGAGUUCUUGAGUUUGACAGUGGGGAAAAUGGUGGAGGUGGAGAAGAUCAGCCAUUUUCGGAAUUGGUUUGGGAUUGAUUUGAAUAUUAGGGACCUAUUUUUGGAUCACCCUGGGAUCUUUUAUUUGUCAACCAAAGGGAAGAGACACACCAUUUUCCUGAGAGAGGCUUAUGAACAGGGGCGUUUAAUUGAUCCAAAUCCCGUUUAUGACGUAAGGAGGAAGCUUUUUGAUCUUGUUAUUCUAGGACGCCGAGGUCUUCAUAUGGGUGAUUGUCAGCAGCGAGGGAACUUGAUGAGGAAAGGGAUCUGAGGUUUUGAAGUUCUAGACUCAGAUAUGUCCACAUGAGUAGGGGGAAUAAGAAUUUUGGAUGCCAUUAGGAUGAAGUUUGUUGUUCAAAUGGUAUUUGGAACUCAUUUUCGAAGACAAAGUUACCUAUCGGAAAGGCAUUUGGCAUUUUGCGGAUCCCAUAGGGAUUAAGGAUUCUGGAAAAAGGGGGAAAGGCUCUUUAAGGACGAAUUGGAGGAGUAUAACUCAUUGUAUAAGGAUUAAUAUCCUGACUUGGCAUCUGGAGGUGUAUAGGAAUAACCACAAGGUGUGCAGGGGUAAGGGCGUAUAGGGAUAAUCAUGUGGGGAGACUUUGGUAGCCGAAUCUGCUGCCCUAUAUCAGACAUGUUGCUGCCUUGGGACAACUGCACAUGACAUCAUAGCAGCACGAAGGCUCAGGAUGAAGAGAAGACCAACAACAUAGAGUGUUUCUGGUGCCAUAAGAAAGGACAUGUAAAGAAUGACUACUUUAUUUUCAAGAAAUGGUUAGAGAAAAUGAAGAAUUCUGGAGCUGAUAAGCAGGAUGAUGCCAAGAAAGGGUGAAGUAGAUUGAUCACCAGCAAUUAAGAACAAGUAAAAGUUGGUCUCAUCAAGUAGUUAGGAUUCCUUUAUAUUCAGUUAUUUGAA
Macadamia integrifolia is the source of this 2115-nucleotide RNA transcript. It is a transcript of the gene named protein ROOT PRIMORDIUM DEFECTIVE 1-like, with no coding region annotated. NCBI's taxonomy places the organism in Eukaryota, Viridiplantae, Streptophyta, Magnoliopsida, Proteales, Proteaceae. The record is from RefSeq and is a predicted model, not a curated record. The transcript is spliced from 3 exons.